RNAcentral lists this ribosomal RNA (440 nucleotides) under uncultured bacterium. RNAcentral describes it as "bacterial SSU rRNA". It matches the Rfam family "Bacterial small subunit ribosomal RNA", at positions 339 to 796 of the family's 1533-position model. The record is from RNAcentral.
AUACGGGAGGCAGCAGUGGGGAAUAUUGCACAAUGGGCGAAAGCCUGAUGCAGCAACGCCGCGUGAGUGAUGAAGGCCUUCGGGUUGUAAAGCUCUAUCUUUUGGGACGAUAAUGACGGUACCAAAGGAGGAAGCCACGGCUAACUACGUGCCAGCAGCCGCGGUAAUACGUAGGUGGCAAGCGUUGUCCGGAUUUACUGGGCGUAAAGGAUGCGUAGGUGGAUAUUUAAGUGGGAUGUGAAAUACCCGGGCUUAACCUGGGUGCUGCAUUCCAAACUGGAUAUCUGGAGUGCAGGAGAGGUAAGUGGAAUUCCUAGUGUAGCGGUGAAAUGCGUAGAGAUUAGGAAGAACACCAGUGGCGAAGGCGACUUACUGGACUGUAACUGACACUGAGGCAUGAAAGCGUGGGGAGCAAACAGGAUUAGAAACCCGAGUAGUCC